Transfer RNA from Enterococcus casseliflavus EC20, 88 nucleotides. It matches the Rfam family "tRNA". Rfam says of the family: Transfer RNA (tRNA) molecules are approximately 80 nucleotides in length. Their secondary structure includes four short double-helical elements and three loops (D, anti-codon, and T loops). Further hydrogen bonds mediate the characteristic L-shaped molecular structure. tRNAs have two regions of fundamental functional importance: the anti-codon, which is responsible for specific mRNA codon recognition, and the 3' end, to which the tRNAs corresponding amino acid is attached (by aminoacyl-tRNA synthetases). tRNAs cope with the degeneracy of the genetic code in two manners: having more than one tRNA (with a specific anti-codon) for a particular amino acid; and 'wobble' base-pairing, i.e. permitting non-standard base-pairing at the 3rd anti-codon position. Lineage: Bacteria; Bacillati; Bacillota; Bacilli; Lactobacillales; Enterococcaceae. The record is from Rfam.
GGAGAGUUGGCAGAGUGGUAAUGCAGCGGACUCGAAAUCCGCCGACCCGGUUCAUCCCGGCGCGCAGGUUCAAAUCCUGUACUCUCCU